RNAcentral lists this ribosomal RNA (255 nucleotides) under uncultured bacterium. RNAcentral's name for it is "partial 16S ribosomal RNA". It matches the Rfam family "Bacterial small subunit ribosomal RNA", at positions 524 to 776 of the family's 1533-position model. The record is from RNAcentral.
GACGAACCGUGCGAACGUUAUUCGGAAUCACUGGGCUUAAAGCGCGUGUAGGCGGAUGGGUACGUCGGUCGCUGAAAUCCCCCGGCUCAACCGGGGAGGGUCACGCGAUACUGAUCGACUCGAAGGCAGGAGAGGGUAGUGGAAUUCCCGGUGUAGUGGUGAAAUGCGUAGAUAUCGGGAGGAACACCAGUGGCGAAGGCGACUACCUGGCCUGUUUCUUGACGCUGAGGCGCGAAAGCUAGGGGAGCAAACGGG